This 468-nucleotide ribosomal RNA is filed under the name uncultured bacterium. Its description in RNAcentral is "partial 16S ribosomal RNA". It matches the Rfam family "Bacterial small subunit ribosomal RNA", at positions 28 to 507 of the family's 1533-position model. The record is from RNAcentral.
GACGAACGCUGGCGGCGUGCCUAACACAUGCAAGUCGAACGGAAAGGCCCUGCUCUUGUGGGGUGCUCGAGUGGCGAACGGGUGAGUAACACGCGAGUAACCUGCACUUGACUUUGGGAUAUCUUCAGGAAAAUGGGGCUAAUAUAGGAUAGGAGAUCUUGCUGCACGGUGGUGGUUGGUAAGAUUCGGCGGUUGGGGAUGGACUAGAGGCUUAUCAGCUUGUUGGUGAGGUAGUGGCUUACCAAGGCUUUGACGGGUAGCCGGCCUGAGAGGCUGACCGGCCACAUUGGGACUGAGAUACGGCCCAGUCUCCUACGGGAGGCAGCAGUGGAGAAUAUUGCACAAUGGGCGGAAGCCUGAUGCAGCAACGCCGCGUGCGGGAUGACGGCCUUCGGGUUGUAAACCGCUUUCGCCUGUGACGAAGCGUGAGUGACGGUAAUGGGUAAAGAAGCACCGGCUAACUACGUG